This 72-nucleotide transfer RNA is filed under the name Candidatus Gottesmanbacteria bacterium RIFCSPHIGHO2_01_FULL_39_10. RNAcentral describes it as "tRNA-Pro". It matches the Rfam family "tRNA". From Rfam's summary of the family: Transfer RNA (tRNA) molecules are approximately 80 nucleotides in length. Lineage: Bacteria; Candidatus Gottesmaniibacteriota. The record is from RNAcentral.
CGGGGUGUAGGUCAUCGGUAGACCGCUUGUAUGGGGUACAAGAAGUAGUGGGUUCAAUUCCCGCCACCCCGA